GUGCCAGCCGCCGCGGUAACACCGGCAGCCCAAGUGAUGGCCACUAUUAUUGGGCCUAAAGCGUCCGUAGCCGGCCGAACAGGUCCAUCGGGAAAUCUGCCCGCUUAACGGGCAGGCGUCCGGUGGAAACCGUUCGGCUUGGGGCCGGAAGACCCGAGGGGUACGUCCGGGGUAGGAGUGAAAUCCCGUAAUCCUGGACGGACCGCCGGUCGCGAAAGCGCCUCGGGAGGACGGACCCGACGGUCAGGGACGAAAGCUGGGGUCUCGAACCGGAUUAGAUACCCCUUAGUCC
This 292-nucleotide ribosomal RNA is filed under the name uncultured bacterium. Its description in RNAcentral is "partial 16S ribosomal RNA". It matches the Rfam family "Archaeal small subunit ribosomal RNA", at positions 455 to 747 of the family's 1478-position model. The record is from RNAcentral.